This 253-nucleotide ribosomal RNA is filed under the name uncultured bacterium. Its description in RNAcentral is "partial 16S ribosomal RNA". It matches the Rfam family "Bacterial small subunit ribosomal RNA", at positions 524 to 776 of the family's 1533-position model. The record is from RNAcentral.
UACGGGGGGGGCAAGCGUUGUUCGGAAUUACUGGGCGUAAAGGGUUCGUAGGUGGCCAACUAAGUCAGACGUGAAAUCCCUCAGCUUAACUGGGGAACUGCGUCUGAUACUGGUUGGCUUGAGUGCAGGAGAGGAACGCGGAAUUCCAGGUGUAGCGGUGAAAUGCGUAGAUAUCUGGAGGAACACCGGUGGCGAAGGCGGCGUUCUGGACUGCAACUGACACUGAGGAACGAAAGUGUGGGGAGCGAACAGG